CUCUGGCCUUGUAGCACUAAAGCAACCACAGAAUACAUAAACAAAUGUGUGUAGCUGUAUUUCAAUAAAACUCUAGAUACCAAAACAAGCGAUGGGCCAGAUGUGGUCUACAAGCUAACUGUAGUUUGCCAUGUACGUUCCUUGGGUCUAUUCACAUUUUCCUCCAUUCAACGUUUACUGAAAAGCUGUUAUCUAUUUAAAGACAUUUAGAAUAAAGAGCCAGCCUCUGCCUUGAGCCUAGGGAGGAGCCAGGAACAUAAACACACAAGCCAGCAGGAUACAAUGUGAACAACACUGUGAUCAAGGAGAUUGGAGAAGGCUUCUUAGGGGAGUAACAGCUGAGUUAGGAUUCUGCAGAAUGAAUAUGCAGUUUUCCAGAUUCAGGAAAGGUUUUAUCUAGGGAAACAUAAUAGCACACAUAAGGUGACGUGUGUUUAUGGCAGCCGGGGAGUACUGUGGUGGUGAUAGUGGGAAGUGAGAUGGCAAAGAGGAAAAGGGCCAGAUGAUGAUUAAAUGCCUUACCUGCCGCAGUGAGAGCAUACACACAUGCUCUGAUAGCACUUCUUAGACGGGAAUUCUGAGGGUCAAAGCAUGCCAUCCUGGGGUUGGCCCAUGGCAGCACCAGCCAUGAAGAGCAGCCAGCCUGGCAGGUGUGGAGAGGCCCCAGAGAACCACAGAAGCAGCCGCAGAAGUGAUGAGUGAGCAAUCUCCAGGUAACUAGAUCUGUUUUGCAACAGGGGCUGAAAACCUAACCUAAUGCUGGCCACCAAUAGGGCUAAACAGUGUUAGCAGGUACUGUCAGCAGGCCUCAGGCAGAAGCAGACAAGAAGGGUAAGAAGUAAAGGAGAGGGAGGAAAGGAGUUGAAAGAAUAAGAGAAUGAGGUGAAAGCUGAAGUCCCCACAGAGGGAAAUGCCACAAGACUAGGCCGUGCAACAUUUCCGCAGUGCUCCUCGCUACAAAGACAUUCCCCUAAGGCUGGUGGGCAACUCAACACUCAGCUCAGUACGUGGUCAGCUCGUCCUCCAUAGGAGCCUUAUGCCUUGGUGAGGAGAUCUCUGAAGAAAUUGCUGAUGAAAGUCCAACAGGCUCUUCCAGUUUGUCUGGUCGGUCACAUUUGCUGAAACCUGGAGGAAUUGUUAGUGGAAGCUCAACAGGCCUGACUCAGUCUGACUGUCCAUUCUUCUGGAAGCUGCAGAGAAAAGAAACCUGGAAACCUUAUAUGCUGACAAAAAGGGACACAAUUGGAUAUGAUGGUUAUUUUACCAAGGUUUUGAAAUGUCGUGCUUUCAAAUAUAAACAGACUGCUUUAAGGAAUCGAAGUUGACUUAUAGAGCCAAUAAAAGCCCUGCAGGAAAGCUGGCCUCAUACUUUGUCUACACAGUCUCUGUACAGGUUUCCUGACCUGUGGCUGGAGUGGAAUUGCGCGAUAUCGGC
RNAcentral lists this long non-coding RNA (1435 nucleotides) under Homo sapiens (human). Its description in RNAcentral is "HSALNT0090151". The record is from RNAcentral. Lineage: Eukaryota; Metazoa; Chordata; Mammalia; Primates; Hominidae.